AUACGUAGGGUGCAAGCGUUAAUCGGAAUUACUGGGCGUAAAGCGUGCGCAGGCGGUUUUGUAAGACAGAGGUGAAAUCCCCGGGCUCAACCUGGGAACUUCCUUUGUGACUGCAAGGCUAGAGUACGGCAGAGGGGGGUGGAAUUCCGCGGGUAGCAGUGAAAUGCGUAGAUAUGCGGAGGAACACCGAUGGCGAAGGCAAUCCCCUGGGCCUGUACUGACGCUCAUGCACGAAAGCGUGGGGAGCAAACAGGAUUAGAUACCCUGGUAGUCCACGCCCUAAACGAUGUCAACUGGUUGUUGGGUCUUCAUUGACUCAGUAACGAAGCUAACGCGUGAAGUUGACCGCCUGGGGAGUACGGCCGCAAGGUUGAAACUCAAAUGAAUUGGCGGGG
This 395-nucleotide ribosomal RNA is filed under the name uncultured bacterium. RNAcentral describes it as "partial 16S ribosomal RNA". It matches the Rfam family "Bacterial small subunit ribosomal RNA", at positions 523 to 918 of the family's 1533-position model. The record is from RNAcentral.